Molecule: non-coding RNA, 669 nt
Organism: Dermacentor albipictus
Lineage: Eukaryota; Metazoa; Arthropoda; Arachnida; Ixodida; Ixodidae
Source: RefSeq, a predicted model, not a curated record
UGAGCAGCGGCGGGUUCGUCCCCGGUUUCAUCAUUUCGCGCGUUUUCCGCUGCUGCAAGGUCCAGCCCUGCAGCGUCAUGGAUUAUCCGGCUCCUGCCAAAGGACUGCACGGAGUGACACCCAUGGUGCUCUGGCGGCGAGUAGCUGUUAACCAAGCCACCGCUUUCGUCUGGAAGAAACUGAUGAAACCAUGGUCGAAAGGGUUAAAUCAACAUCGAGCUGGCGUGCACUGAGACCAGAGCGCAACGGUCCUGAUUUCCGUCGCACGUCGAAGAGCGGGGCGACAACUCAAGAAAAAAAAAAGGAAAGAAAAUAAAAGAGAACAAACGACGGGAUGCCGAGAGAUCGAUACGCGCCGAGCGGUCAGCACGACAGGAGCCCUGCGCGAGCAACAGGUAAGAAAACCACCGGUCGCGAUGACCACCAGGCGGCGCGGAGUCGUGCGCAUCGAUGACUCGGCGCCGAUAUGAUGCACGGGGUGAUUCAGCAAUAAUGCUUCCUAAAGGUGCUUCCUGAUCGAUCUAAAACCGCCGGGAUCCUGCGGUUGUGCGUGGGAGAGGUUCGCAGGACGUGGAUCGUUGUGAUAUUCGUUACUGUGGCUUCAGACUUGCCCCCGGCGCUACUUAUUACUCUUUAUUCCGCGUAAGUUGUAUGAAAACGCAGUUUCUA